GACGAACGCUGGCGGCGUGCCUAAUACAUGCAAGUAGAACGCUGAAGACUUUAGCUUGCUAAAGUUGGAAGAGUUGCGAACGGGUGAGUAACGCGUAGGUAACCUGCCUACUAGCGGGGGAUAACUAUUGGAAACGAUAGCUAAUACCGCAUAACAGCAUUUAACCCAUGUUAGAUGCUUGAAAGGAGCAAUUGCUUCACUAGUAGAUGGACCUGCGUUGUAUUAGCUAGUUGGUGAGGUAACGGCUCACCAAGGCGACGAUACAUAGCCGACCUGAGAGGGUGAUCGGCCACACUGGGACUGAGACACGGCCCAGACUCCUACGGGAGGCAGCAGUAGGGAAUCUUCGGCAAUGGGGGCAACCCUGACCGAGCAACGCCGCGUGAGUGAAGAAGGUUUUCGGAUCGUAAAGCUCUGUUGUAAGAGAAGAACGUGUGUGAGAGUGGAAAGUUCACACAGUGACGGUAACU
This 470-nucleotide ribosomal RNA is filed under the name uncultured bacterium. Its description in RNAcentral is "bacterial SSU rRNA". It matches the Rfam family "Bacterial small subunit ribosomal RNA", at positions 28 to 480 of the family's 1533-position model. The record is from RNAcentral.